AGAGUUUGAUCAUGGCUCAGAACGAACGCUGGCGGCAGGCUUAACACAUGCAAGUCGAGCGCCUCGCAAGAGGAGCGGCAGACGGGUGAGUAACACGUGGGAAUCUACCCAUCCUUACGGAACAACUCCGGGAAACUGGAGCUAAUACCGUAUACGCCCUUCGGGGGAAAGAUUUAUCGAGGAUGGAUGAGCCCGCGUUGGAUUAGCUAGUUGGUGGGGUAAAGGCCUACCAAGGCGACGAUCCAUAGCUGGUCUGAGAGGAUGAUCAGCCACAUUGGGACUGAGACACGGCCCAAACUCCUACGGGAGGCAGCAGUGGGGAAUAUUGGACAAUGGGCGCAAGCCUGAUUCAGCCAUGCCGCGUGAGUGAUGAAGGCCCUAGGGUUGUAAAGCUCUUUCACCGGAGAAGAUAAUGACGGUAUCCGGAGAAGAAGCCCCGGCUAACUUCGUGCCAGCAGCCGCGGUAAUACGAAGGGGGCUAGCGUUGUUCGGAUUUACUGGGCGUAAAGCGCACGUAGGCGGAUCGAUCAGUCAGGGGUGAAAUCCCAGAGCUCAACUCUGGAACUGCCUUUGAUACUGUCGAUCUGGAGUAUGGAAGAGGUGAGUGGAAUUCCGAGUGUAGAGGUGAAAUUCGUAGAUAUUCGGAGGAACACCAGUGGCGAAGGCGGCUCACUGGUCCAUUACUGACGCUGAGGUGCGAAAGCGUGGGGAGCAAACAGGAUUAGAUACCCUAGUAGUCC
This 740-nucleotide ribosomal RNA is filed under the name uncultured bacterium. RNAcentral's name for it is "bacterial SSU rRNA". It matches the Rfam family "Bacterial small subunit ribosomal RNA", at positions 8 to 796 of the family's 1533-position model. The record is from RNAcentral.